This 200-nucleotide ribosomal RNA is filed under the name uncultured bacterium. RNAcentral describes it as "partial 16S ribosomal RNA". It matches the Rfam family "Bacterial small subunit ribosomal RNA", at positions 328 to 539 of the family's 1533-position model. The record is from RNAcentral.
ACGCUCGACACCUACGGGAGGCUGCAGUUGGGAAUAUUGGACAAUGGAGGAAACUCUGAUCCAGUGACGCCGCGUGAAGGAAGAAGGUCUUCGGAUUGUAAACUUAUUUUGUCAGGGAAGAAAAAAUGACUGUACCUGAAGAAAAAGCACCGGCUAACUACGUGCCAACAGCCGCGGUAAUCUGAGCGGGCUGGCAAGGC